This 655-nucleotide ribosomal RNA is filed under the name uncultured forest soil bacterium. RNAcentral describes it as "bacterial SSU rRNA". It matches the Rfam family "Bacterial small subunit ribosomal RNA", at positions 64 to 767 of the family's 1533-position model. The record is from RNAcentral.
GAGCGCCCCGCAAGGGGAGCGCAGACGGGAGAGUAACACGUGGGAACGUGCCCUUUGGUUCGGAACAACACAGGGAAACUUGUGCUAAUACCGGAUAAGCCCUUACGGGGAAAGAUUUAUUGCCAAAGGAUCGGCCCGCGUCUGAUUAGCUUGUUGGUGAGGUAACGGCUCACCAAGGCUACGAUCAGUAGCUGGUCUGAGAGGAUGAUCAGCCUCACUGGGACUGAGACACGGCCCAGACUCCUACGGGAGGCAGCAGUGGGGAAUAUUGGACAAUGGGCGCAAGCCUGAUCCAGCCAUGCCGCGUGGAUGAUGAAGGCCUUAGGGUUGUAAAGUCCUUUCGGCGGGGAAGAUAAUGACGGUACCCGCAGAAGAAGCCCCGGCUAACUUCGUGCCAGCAGCCGCGGUAAUACGAAAGGGGGCUAGCGUUGCUCGGAAUCACUGGGCGUAAAGCGCACGUAGGCGGCUUUCUAAGUCAGAGGUGAAAUCCUGGGGCUCAACUCCAGAACUGCCUUUGAUACUGGAGAGCUUGAGUCCGGGAGAGGUGAGUGGAACUGCGAGUGUAGAGGUGUAAUUCGUAGAUAUUCGCAAGAACACCAGUGGCGAAGGCGGCUCACUGGCCCGGUACUGACGCUGAGGUGCGAAAGCGUGGGGA